This 465-nucleotide ribosomal RNA is filed under the name Vreelandella stevensii. RNAcentral's name for it is "partial 16S ribosomal RNA". It matches the Rfam family "Bacterial small subunit ribosomal RNA", at positions 338 to 795 of the family's 1533-position model. The record is from RNAcentral. Lineage: Bacteria; Pseudomonadati; Pseudomonadota; Gammaproteobacteria; Oceanospirillales; Halomonadaceae.
CCUACGGGUGGCAGCAGUGGGGAAUAUUGGACAAUGGGGGGAACCCUGAUCCAGCCAUGCCGCGUGUGUGAAGAAGGCCCUCGGGUUGUAAAGCACUUUCAGUGAGGAAGAACGCCUGGUGGUUAAUACCCAUCAGGAAAGACAUCACUCACAGAAGAAGCACCGGCUAACUCCGUGCCAGCAGCCGCGGUAAUACGGAGGGUGCGAGCGUUAAUCGGAAUUACUGGGCGUAAAGCGCGCGUAGGUGGCUGGAUAAGCCGGUUGCGAAAGCCCCGGGCGCAACCUGGGAACGGCAUCCGGAACUGUCAAGCUAGAGUGCAGGAGAGGAAGGUAGAAUUCCCGGUGUAGCGGUGAAAUGCGUAGAGAUCGGGAGGAAUACCAGUGGCGAAGGCGGCCUUCUGGACUGACACUGACACUGAGGUGCGAAAGCGUGGGUAGCAAACAGGAUUAGAUACCCUAGUAGUC